Molecule: microRNA precursor, 93 nt
Filed under: Otolemur garnettii (small-eared galago)
Lineage: Eukaryota; Metazoa; Chordata; Mammalia; Primates; Galagidae
Description: miRNA (ENSOGAG00000030559.1)
Source: RNAcentral
UGCUCUCCCAUUUCUAGGGUGCUGCUCUCAUCUCUAGUCUAAAAUGGGGCACCACUCAGGUAUUUUAGGGAGCCACUGGGGAGAAAAAAGGAA